CAGCCGCCGCGGUAAUACGAAGGGUGCAAGCGUUACUCGGAAUUACUGGGCGUAAAGCGUGCGUAGGCGGCUUGGUAAGUUAGAGGUGAAAGCCUGGAGCUCAACUCCAGAAUUGCCUUUAAGACUGCCGAGCUAGCAGGUGAGAGAGGUAAGUGGAAUUCCGAGUGUAGAGGUGAAAUUCGUAGAUAUUCGGAAGAACACCAGUGGCGAAGGCGGCUUACUGGCUCAUACUGGACGCUGAGGUGCGAAAGCGUGGGGAGCAAACAGGAUUAGAUACCCGUGUAGUCCCUGUCUCUUAUAC
This 301-nucleotide ribosomal RNA is filed under the name uncultured bacterium. Its description in RNAcentral is "partial 16S ribosomal RNA". It matches the Rfam family "Bacterial small subunit ribosomal RNA", at positions 509 to 807 of the family's 1533-position model. The record is from RNAcentral.